UAGAGAGCUUAAAUAGCAUUCGGAGGCAGUGGUAGCGUCAUUAGCCCUUGGGGGAGGCUGGGUUCUAUCUAGUUUGGUGCUUAUUUAAAUUACGUUACAGCUAAUUUAUUUCCGUUAGGUUAUUAAAGGAGUAUGAAUGGAAGCGUAGGUUGUACAAUGGGCCGUGCUGCCCGCUGUCUUGGUAGGCAGGAUGAAAUUAAGUUUGGCACCUAACGAAAAUGAUUUCUAAGAAGUAUUGGGAAGUUUCUCCAUGUUGCGGCAUGUCGGUGGACCACGCCACGUGGUCGCAAGUCCAGUGCCGGCCGUCAACCUGGGCUCAAAGAUUCCGGCGAAGGAGCUGUCGAUCACGGUGAUGUGGCGCCCCCAAGACCGCUUCCACAUCGUGGUUGCUUCGGAUUUUUAUGACCUCGGCGAUCUGAAAAAUAAAUUAAUUCAAUACUA
This is a long non-coding RNA of Brienomyrus brachyistius, 441 nucleotides long. RefSeq lists it as uncharacterized. The transcript has 3 exons. Lineage: Eukaryota; Metazoa; Chordata; Actinopteri; Osteoglossiformes; Mormyridae. The record is from RefSeq and is a predicted model, not a curated record.